Molecule: non-coding RNA, 229 nt
Organism: Callorhinus ursinus (northern fur seal)
Lineage: Eukaryota; Metazoa; Chordata; Mammalia; Carnivora; Otariidae
Source: RefSeq, a predicted model, not a curated record
UUCAAGGUUCAGUUUCUACAUGGCCCCUGUGGUCUGAAUCCCAGCCCAGUGCUGGGUCCCUCCUCCACCCGGUCAAUUCUCUCAUGGGAUUCCUGCCGAGUCACUUCACCCUCAGGCCUUCAGUCUCCUCACCUGCCUGCACGAUGACAGGGCUGGACCAGAUGGAAAGCCCAAGAUCCUUUGAAACCCUCUUGCCAAGACACCCCAAAUAGCUGUCUGAUCAGUAUUU